CCUACGGGUGGCAGCAGUGGGGAAUAUUGGGCAAUGGGCGCAAGCCUGACCCAGCAACGCCGCGUGAAGGAAGACGGCUUUCGGGUUGUAAACUUCUUUUAAGAGGGAAGAGCAAAAGACGGUGCCUCUUGAAUAACCCACGCCUAACUACUUGCCAGCAGCCGCGGUAAUACGUAGGUGCCAGGCGUGGUCCGGAUUUACUGGGUGUAAAGGGUGUGUGGCCGGGCAGACAAGUCAGAUGUGAAAUCCCGUGGCUCAACCACGGAACUGCAUUUGAAACUGUCGGUCUUGAGUAUAGGAGAGGCAGGCGGAAUUCCUAGUGUAGCGGUGAAAUGCGUAGAUAUUAGGAGGAACACCAGUGGCGAAGGCGGCCUGCUGGAC
Molecule: ribosomal RNA, 381 nt
Filed under: uncultured bacterium
Lineage: Bacteria
Description: partial 16S ribosomal RNA
Rfam family: Bacterial small subunit ribosomal RNA
Source: RNAcentral